Molecule: ribosomal RNA, 633 nt
Filed under: Flavobacterium sp. So3Ps_1844
Lineage: Bacteria; Pseudomonadati; Bacteroidota; Flavobacteriia; Flavobacteriales; Flavobacteriaceae
Description: bacterial SSU rRNA
Rfam family: Bacterial small subunit ribosomal RNA
Source: RNAcentral
GUCUGACCAGCCAUGCCGCGUGCAGGAUGACGGUCCUAUGGAUUGUAAACUGCUUUUGCACAGGAAGAAACACUCCGACGUGUCGGAGCUUGACGGUACUGUGAGAAUAAGGAUCGGCUAACUCCGUGCCAGCAGCCGCGGUAAUACGGAGGAUCCAAGCGUUAUCCGGAAUCAUUGGGUUUAAAGGGUCCGUAGGCGGUCUUGUAAGUCAGUGGUGAAAGCCCAUCGCUCAACGGUGGAACGGCCAUUGAUACUGCAGGACUUGAAUUAUUGGGAAGUAACUAGAAUAUGUAGUGUAGCGGUGAAAUGCUUAGAGAUUACAUGGAAUACCAAUUGCGAAGGCAGGUUACUACCAAUUUAUUGACGCUGAUGGACGAAAGCGUGGGUAGCGAACAGGAUUAGAUACCCUGGUAGUCCACGCCGUAAACGAUGGAUACUAGCUGUUGGGAGCAAUCUCAGUGGCUAAGCGAAAGUGAUAAGUAUCCCACCUGGGGAGUACGAACGCAAGUUUGAAACUCAAAGGAAUUGACGGGGGCCCGCACAAGCGGUGGAGCAUGUGGUUUAAUUCGAUGAUACGCGAGGAACCUUACCAAGGCUUAAAUGCAGACUGACCGAUUUGGAAACAGAUCUUUC